RNAcentral lists this ribosomal RNA (291 nucleotides) under uncultured bacterium. RNAcentral describes it as "partial 16S ribosomal RNA". It matches the Rfam family "Bacterial small subunit ribosomal RNA", at positions 27 to 311 of the family's 1533-position model. The record is from RNAcentral.
GGAUGAACGCUAGCGGCAGGCUUAAUACAUGCAAGUCGAGGGGCAGCAGGGUGUAGCAAUACAUCGCUGGCGACCGGCAAACGGGUGCGGAACACGUACGCAACCUUCCUUCAAGUGAGGAAUAGCCCAGGGAACUUUGGAUUAAUACCUCGUAACAUUGUGAAAGUGGCAUCACUUUACAAUUAUAGCUCAGGCGCGUUGGAGAUGGGCGUGCGACUGAUUAGGUAGUUGGCGGAGUAACAGCCCACCAAGCCUGCGAUCAGUAACUGGUGUGAGAGCACGACCAGUCAC